CCUACGGGUGGCUGCAGUGGGGAAUAUUGCACAAUGGGGGAAACCCUGAUGCAGCGACGCCGCGUGAGUGAAGAAGUAUCUCGGUACGUAAAGCUCUAUCAGCAGGGAAGAAAAUGACGGUACCUGACUAAGAAGCCCCGGCUAACUACGUGCCAGCAGCCGCGGUAAUACGUAGGGGGCAAGCGUUAUCCGGAUUUACUGGGUGUAAAGGGAGCGUAGACGGCAGCACAAGUCUGGAGUGAAAUCCCGGGGCUUAACCCCGGAACUGCUUUGGAAACUGUGCGGCUGGAGUGCAGGAGGGGUAAGCGGAAUUCCUAGUGUAGCGGUGAAAUGCGUAGAUAUUAGGAGGAACACCGGUGGCGAAGGCAGCUUACUAAACUGUGACUGACAUUGAUGCUCGAAAGUGUGGGUAUCAAACAGGAUUAGAUACCCGGGUAGUC
RNAcentral lists this ribosomal RNA (440 nucleotides) under uncultured bacterium. RNAcentral's name for it is "partial 16S ribosomal RNA". It matches the Rfam family "Bacterial small subunit ribosomal RNA", at positions 338 to 795 of the family's 1533-position model. The record is from RNAcentral.